CCUACGGGUGGCAGCAGUCGAGAAUCAUUCACAAUGGGGGAAACCCUGAUGGUGCGACGCCGCGUGGGGGAAUGAAGGUCUUCGGAUUGUAAACCCCUGUCAUGUGGGAGCAAAUUAAAAAGAUAGUACCACAAGAGGAAGAGACGGCUAACUCUGUGCCAGCAGCAGCGGUAAUACAGAGGUCUCAAGCGUUGUUCGGAAUCACUGGGCGUAAAGGGUGCGUAGGCUGUUUCGUAAGUCGUGUGUGAAAGGCGCGGGCUCAACCCGCGGACGGCACAUGAUACUGCGAGACUAGAGUAAUGGAGGGGGAACCGGAAUUCUCGGUGUAGCAGUGAAAUGCGUAGAUAUCGAGAGGAACACUCGGGGCGAAGGCGGGUUCCUGGACAUUAACUGACGCUGAGGCACGAAGGCCAGGGGAGCGAAAGGGAUUAGAUACCCCAGUAGUC
This 446-nucleotide ribosomal RNA is filed under the name uncultured bacterium. RNAcentral describes it as "partial 16S ribosomal RNA". It matches the Rfam family "Bacterial small subunit ribosomal RNA", at positions 338 to 795 of the family's 1533-position model. The record is from RNAcentral.